ACCUUGGGAACCCCAGGUUAAUACCGCAUAAGUCCUAACGGGGAGAAAGGGGGUUCCGGCUCCCGCUAUCGGAUGGGCUUAUGUCGGAUUAGCUGGUUGGUGAGGUAAAGGCUCACCAAGGCGACGAUCCGUAGCUGGUCUGAGAGGAUGAUCAGCCACAUCGGGACUGAGACACGGCCCGAACUCCUACGGGAGGCAGCAGUGGGGAAUAUUGGACAAUGGGGGGAACCCUGAUCCAGCCAUGCCGCGUGUGUGAAGAAGGCCCUCGGGUUGUAAAGCACUUUCAGUGAGGAAGAACGCNUGGUGGUUAAUACCCAUCAGGAAAGACAUCACUCACAGA
Molecule: ribosomal RNA, 340 nt
Filed under: uncultured bacterium
Lineage: Bacteria
Description: bacterial SSU rRNA
Rfam family: Bacterial small subunit ribosomal RNA
Source: RNAcentral